Molecule: unclassified non-coding RNA, 192 nt
Filed under: uncultured Trechispora
Lineage: Eukaryota; Fungi; Basidiomycota; Agaricomycetes; Polyporales; Polyporaceae
Description: sequence contains ITS1
Source: RNAcentral
ACGUAUCUGCGACGGGGUUCGGCGUGCCCUGCUCCGGUCCAUACGGGCCGUGCAGCGGGCUGCCGUCCCCGUUCACACCUCACAAACCCACUGUGAACCUUCACGGCGGAAGGGAGGAGACUCCCCGAGGCCGCAUACCAAACUCCAGUCGUAAAGAAUGUCGUGCGGACUUGCGCCGCCUAAAACACAAAA